This is a long non-coding RNA of Lolium rigidum, 198 nucleotides long. RefSeq lists it as uncharacterized. The transcript has 3 exons. NCBI's taxonomy places the organism in Eukaryota, Viridiplantae, Streptophyta, Magnoliopsida, Poales, Poaceae. The record is from RefSeq and is a predicted model, not a curated record.
ACCUAAGAUACAAUUCUUCCAGCCACAACUAAUAAAAGAUCUCUACUCCUUUUGUUCCUGCUGAAAAGGCUACCGAAUAUCGUCGGACGCGGAAAUUGAUGGAUCAGCACCUUGCUUCUGGUCGGCGCUCAGCGGUGUGUUGCCAUCGACCUAUGAUAAAUUGAGUUGUCGUUGUCUGGGGAUUUUGUUGUGAUACUC